UACUACUUGUUGGAUCGUUGAUGCUAAUUAUUAAUUUCAAGAGCUUGAACUAUUAAAAAGAUAUAACUAACUUACUUAAAACUUAUAGACAUAUAUAGCACCCAUGGGUCUUGAUUGUGACUCGUUUAACCAGCAUCCGUGACUUCAAAUAUGACUCGGUCCAAUUCGACCUCUCGCCAUUUCGAAUGUAACUCGACCCAAUAUAGCUUCCCGCCACAAAAUAGAAUGCUGGCUCUUUUAAGCCAAUAAUUCAAAUGUUGCAUUAAUCAUUUGAAAUUGUAUUUAUUGGUUAAGGAAUAAAGUGAGAAUAGACCACUUUAUUCCUCUAAUUCAUCCAAACACUAGAGGGAGGAAUGAGUUUAUUUAAUCUCCCUUUUAACAGGUUAUUAUAGAAUAAGUCGUUAAGAGGGAGGAAUUGUUGUUCUACCCUUUUGGUGGAAUAACAAUUUCUUCUCUUUGUACUAGGGGUGUCAACGGGUCGGAUUCGGGGCGGAUUUUUAAAAACCCGAAUCCGAACCCGACUAUCAAAUCUGAAAUCCGAAUCCGAAUCCGAACCCGACGGAUUUUAAAAAUCCAUAUCCAAACCCGAACCCGACAAAAAAUCCGAAACCCGAAAAUCCGAACCCGAAUCAGGAACAAACUCGAAUCCGACCAAAAACCUAAAACCCGAUUCUAAACCCGAAAACCUGAAUCCGAAAAUAAUAUUUAUCAAAUUUGGAACAUAUUAUACCAAAAAAAUUAAAAUUUUGAAACAUAUUAUACAAAA
Molecule: long non-coding RNA, 766 nt
Filed under: Ananas comosus (pineapple)
Lineage: Eukaryota; Viridiplantae; Streptophyta; Magnoliopsida; Poales; Bromeliaceae
Description: long non-coding RNA (ACOM_LNC007502)
Source: RNAcentral